This 64-nucleotide transfer RNA is filed under the name Hyriopsis bialata. Its description in RNAcentral is "tRNA-Ala". The record is from RNAcentral. Lineage: Eukaryota; Metazoa; Mollusca; Bivalvia; Unionida; Unionidae.
AGCUCUAUACUUUAAACAAAAGAUCUGAUUUGCAUUCAAACAUUGAACCACCAUUCUAGAGCUA